Molecule: ribosomal RNA, 253 nt
Filed under: uncultured bacterium
Lineage: Bacteria
Description: partial 16S ribosomal RNA
Rfam family: Bacterial small subunit ribosomal RNA
Source: RNAcentral
UACGGGGGGGGCAAGCGUUGUUCGGAAUUACGGGGCGUAAAGGGCUCGUAGGCGGCCAACUAAGUCAGACGUGAAAUCCCUCGGCUUAACCGGGGAACUGCGUCUGAUACUGGAUGGCUUGAGUAUGGUAGAGGUUGGUGGAACUGCGAGUGUAGAGGUGAAAUUCGUAGAUAUUCGCAAGAACACCGGUGGCGAAGGCGGCCAACUGGACCAUUACUGACGCUGAGGCGCGAAAGCGUGGGGAGCAAACAGG